RNAcentral lists this signal recognition particle RNA (86 nucleotides) under Candidatus Kinetoplastidibacterium crithidiae. Its description in RNAcentral is "signal recognition particle sRNA small type". It matches the Rfam family "Bacterial small signal recognition particle RNA". Rfam says of the family: The signal recognition particle (SRP) is a universally conserved ribonucleoprotein involved in the co-translational targeting of proteins to membranes. Archaeal SRP consists of a 7S RNA and homologues of the eukaryotic SRP19 and SRP54 proteins. The record is from RNAcentral. Lineage: Bacteria; Pseudomonadati; Pseudomonadota; Betaproteobacteria.
UUAUCGUUGCAUGAUGAUGUAGUGAACUUGGUCAGGUUGGGAACAAAGCAGCCAUAACUACAGAUAUUUCAGUGCAAAAGAUUUUA